Molecule: small nuclear RNA, 107 nt
Organism: Dasypus novemcinctus (nine-banded armadillo)
Lineage: Eukaryota; Metazoa; Chordata; Mammalia; Cingulata; Dasypodidae
Source: Ensembl
GUGCUCGCUUCGGCAGCACAUAUACUGAAAUUGGAGCGAUACAGAGAAGAUUAGCAUGGCCCUUGCUCAAGGAUGACACGAAAAUUCGUGAAGCGUUCCAUGUUUUU